GACGAACGCUGGCGGCGUGCUUAACACAUGCAAGUCGAACGGAAAGGCCCUGCUUGCAGGGUACUCGAGUGGCGAACGGGUGAGUAACACGUGGGUGAUCUGCCCUGCACUUCGGGAUAAGCCUGGGAAACUGGGUCUAAUACCGGAUAGGAGCCAUUUUUAGUGUGAUGGUUGGAAAGUUUUUUCGGUGUAGGAUGAGCUCGCGGCCUAUCAGCUUGUUGGUGGGGUAAUGGCCUACCAAGGCGGCGACGGGUAGCCGGCCUGAGAGGGUGGACGGCCACAUUGGGACUGGGAGACGGCCCAGACUCCUACGGGAGGCAGCAGUGGGGAAUGUUGCACAAUGGGCGCAAGCCUGAUGCAGCGACGCCGCGUGGGGGAUGACGGCCUUCGGGUUGUAAACUCCUUUCGCUAGGGACGAAGCUUUUUGUGACGGUACCUAGAUAAGAAGCACCGGCUAACUACGUG
This 465-nucleotide ribosomal RNA is filed under the name uncultured bacterium. RNAcentral's name for it is "partial 16S ribosomal RNA". It matches the Rfam family "Bacterial small subunit ribosomal RNA", at positions 28 to 507 of the family's 1533-position model. The record is from RNAcentral.